This is a long non-coding RNA of Amblyraja radiata (thorny skate), 150 nucleotides long. RefSeq lists it as uncharacterized. The transcript has 3 exons. Lineage: Eukaryota; Metazoa; Chordata; Chondrichthyes; Rajiformes; Rajidae. The record is from RefSeq and is a predicted model, not a curated record.
GAGUCGGUGAGUAGUGAGUCCACAAGCUGUGAUAGUGAGUCAAGAAGCCAUGAGUCACUGAGUAGUGAACCCAGAAGCCGUGAGUAGUGAGCCCAGAAGCCGUGAGUCAGUGAGUAGUGAGUCCAGAAGCCAUGAUAGUGAGCCCAGAUG